Molecule: non-coding RNA, 266 nt
Organism: Paramuricea clavata
Lineage: Eukaryota; Metazoa; Cnidaria; Anthozoa; Malacalcyonacea; Plexauridae
Source: the annotation of a GenBank genome assembly
CACCACGCUUUUCAAUAACUUAAUUCAGCAUCGUACCCUCAGAAAGAGAAUGAUGUGGCCUGUAAACUUUACAGAUCUCAACCCAAUUGAGUAUCUUCGGGACCAGCAAAAGCGGUAUGUCUAUCGCCAGUUCAAAGAAUACUGCACGAGGGCUGACUUGGCUCAAUUGUUGCAGGAGAAAUGGAUGGCUAUAUCUCAACAGCAUGUGACUCCUCAACAUGAGGAGACGAUGUCUUGAGGUAAUCCAGCAGCGUGGUGUUUACACC